UACGUAGGGGGCAAGCGUUGUCCGGAAUCAUUGGGCGUAAAGCGCGUGUAGGCGGCCCUGCAAGUCGGGUGUGAAAUCCCACGGCUCAACCGUGGAAGUGCAUUCGAAACUGCAGGGCUAGAGUCCUGGAGAGGAAGGUGGAAUGCUUGGUGUAGAGGUGAAAUUCGUAGAUAUCAAGCGGAACACCGGUGGCGAAGGCGGCCUUCUGGACAGUGACUGACGCUGAGACGCGAAAGCGUGGGGAGCAAACAGG
RNAcentral lists this ribosomal RNA (253 nucleotides) under uncultured bacterium. RNAcentral describes it as "partial 16S ribosomal RNA". It matches the Rfam family "Bacterial small subunit ribosomal RNA", at positions 524 to 776 of the family's 1533-position model. The record is from RNAcentral.